This 314-nucleotide unclassified non-coding RNA is filed under the name Hevea brasiliensis (rubber tree). The record is from RNAcentral. Lineage: Eukaryota; Viridiplantae; Streptophyta; Magnoliopsida; Malpighiales; Euphorbiaceae.
UCUCAUUAACAAACUAAAUAUCUGUAAGGUAGAAAAACAUAAAAGGAAACACAAAGUUACCCAAGGACUAGGCAAAAACCACUUGUUGGAUGGAUCAUCUACAUCCAAACAUAAGUGCUUAAAUAAAAUCCAAAACUGUGAAAACAAAGAGAAACCGGCGUACUUCUUUCAAUCAUUUAGAUUUCAUCUAAAUGGAAGUCAUGCCAAAUGGUGCUAUAUGUUAAUCCUAGUAGCGGCCAAUACCCCACACUCUAAUCAGACCAUCUGUGUAUCCACUGAAAAGUGUGCUCCCAUCAGCACUCCAACUCAAACUG